UACAGAGGGUGCGAGCGUUAAUCGGAAUUACUGGGCGUAAAGGGUGCGUAGGUUGUUGAUUAAGUGAGAUGUGAAAUCCCCGGGCUUAACCUGGGAGUGUCAUUUCAUACUGAUUGGCUAGAGUCGAGUAGAGGGAAGUGGAAUUUCCGGUGUAGCGGUGAAAUGCGUAGAUAUCGGAAGGAACACCAGUGGCGAAGGCGUCUUCCUGGACUUAGACUGACACUGAGGCACGAAAGCGUGGGUAGCAAACAGG
RNAcentral lists this ribosomal RNA (253 nucleotides) under uncultured bacterium. Its description in RNAcentral is "partial 16S ribosomal RNA". It matches the Rfam family "Bacterial small subunit ribosomal RNA", at positions 524 to 776 of the family's 1533-position model. The record is from RNAcentral.